Vicia villosa (hairy vetch) is the source of this 700-nucleotide long non-coding RNA. RefSeq lists it as uncharacterized. The record is from RefSeq and is a predicted model, not a curated record. Lineage: Eukaryota; Viridiplantae; Streptophyta; Magnoliopsida; Fabales; Fabaceae. The transcript is spliced from 3 exons.
AUGGUUAUUAGAAGAAUUAGUGGAGUGAUUAGAGACAAAGAGGAUUGGUUAGAAUGGAACUAAAUGGCAUUGUUGUAAAUAAGGUUAAGUUGGAAGGCAUCAUGGACUUAUCUAAUGCUUGCAUGUGGACAUAAAGGACAUUAGAUUUAAUUGCAUGAACUUAGGGGGUUGUUUGGCUUGCAAAUCAGAAUUUGGAAACAAGAAAGGAAGAAGAACUCAUGAAGCAAGUUCCAUUUUCGCAACUAUUGGUACAGCUCCACUAAAUCAGCUUCUGUUUUGGAGGAGAAAACUGACCUUGAAGUUGUGUCAGUUAUGCUGAAUGUGUGUUAUGGAGAGCUACGAAUUUCUUGCUAAUGGAGAUGGAAGUUUGAGUAAGAUAAGAGUUCAAAGGCUGCAUUAACACCAUCUAAACCUCUAUUAAUCCAAGGUGCAGUUUAGUAGCUUUUGAUAGAUAGCAGGUUCGGAUUUAUGGCUUGAAGUGGUGUUGGCUCGAAGACCUCGUCAGAUCUCUCUUUCCGCUGUUCAGAUCCAUUGAAGACAUAUGUUUUGAAAUUCUUGUUAGAAUUUCAUGUUGUAUUGUAUUAUGGAUCUUUCUAUAUCUAUAGCUUUUGUAUGUAUUCAAUAUCAAUUUUAAUGUUUCAUGCAUAAUAUACUAGUCAAUUAUGUAUGGGCUGUUACAGUUGGUAUCAGAGCUGGUUGA